Molecule: ribosomal RNA, 466 nt
Filed under: uncultured bacterium
Lineage: Bacteria
Description: partial 16S ribosomal RNA
Rfam family: Bacterial small subunit ribosomal RNA
Source: RNAcentral
GACGAACGCUGGCGGCGUGCUUAACACAUGCAAGUCGAACGGAAAGGCCCUGCUUGCAGGGUACUCGAGUGGCGAACGGGUGAGUAACACGUGGGUGAUCUGCCCUGCACUUCGGGAUAAGCCUGGGAAACUGGGUCUAAUACCGGAUAGGGGCCAUUUUUAGUGUGAUGGUUGGAAAGUUUUUUUCGGUGUAGGAUGAGCUCGCGGCCUAUCAGCUUGUUGGUGGGGUAAUGGCCUACCAAGGCGGCGACGGGUAGCCGGCCUGAGAGGGUGGACGGCCACAUUGGGACUGAGAUACGGCCCAGACUCCUACGGGAGGCAGCAGUGGGGAAUAUUGCACAAUGGGCGCAAGCCUGAUGCAGCGACGCCGCGUGGGGGAUGACGGCCUUCGGGUUGUAAACUCCUUUCGCUAGGGACGAAGCUUUUUGUGACGGUACCUAGAUAAGAAGCACCGGCUAACUACGUG